UACACUCCUGCGGGAGGCAGCAGUAGGGAAUCUUCGGCAAUGGGGGCAACCCUGACCGAGCAACGCCGCGUGAGUGAAGAAGGUUUUCGGAUCGUAAAGUUCUGUUGUAAGUCAAGAACGAGUGUGAGAGUGGAAAGUUCACACUGUGACGGUAGCUUACCAGAAAGGGACGGCUAACUACGUGCCAGCAGCCGCGGUAAUACGUAGGUCCCGAGCGUUGUCCGGAUUUAUUGGGCGUAAAGCGAGCGCAGGCGGUUUGAUAAGUCUGAAGUUAAAGGCUGUGGCUCAACCAUAGUUCGCUUUGGAAACUGUCAAACUUGAGUGCAGAAGGGGAGAGUGGAAUUCCAUGUGUAGCGGUGAAAUGCGUAGAUAUAUGGAGGAACACCGGUGGCGAAAGCGGCUCUCUGGUCUGUAACUGACGCUGAGGCUCGAAAGCGUGGGGAGCGAACAGGAUUAGAAACCCCGGUAGUCCCAUGAU
RNAcentral lists this ribosomal RNA (478 nucleotides) under uncultured organism. Its description in RNAcentral is "partial 16S ribosomal RNA". It matches the Rfam family "Bacterial small subunit ribosomal RNA", at positions 332 to 801 of the family's 1533-position model. The record is from RNAcentral.